AAAAUAAAAAAAUUCAUGAUAUUUGUUUGUCACUCCCACCAAAAUUGAGCUCCCUCAUCACGAAAUCUCCGUUUUGUGGUAGCGUCUAGCCCAUCCUCCACAUCCACCAUUUUCUGCGCUGAUUGGAUUCGGUUCAAGCAAAGCUCUCCCCACUAAAUCCAGCAGCCGGCCCGCAUCCAACAUAUGGAGCACCGACUAUGGACGAUCUGCCCCACAUCUCCAUGCAUCUUUCGGUGAAAACCACGUCGCCGUCACGCUACGAGAGCAGCAGCCUACAGCAUCGGCAGAUGGCGAUUUCAUUCCGUGCUCCGAGCGAGACGAAGCAGAAGCUCAUUUCAGGUCUGGACAAUAACAAUGCUGCCAGCAUCAUUGCCAACUGCAGUAGCUGCCCUCCACGCAUCACAGGCCGGUGAAUAGGCGCCGCUCGAGACCGUCGAAUAUAUAACGCCGGCCGUCCACCACGCCACCUACAAAUCGCCCCAAUCUCUGCGCGAUAACAGCUUGGACUACGCUAAAGCUUCGUGCAGCAGCCGAGGUUUCUUCACCAGGUCCUCCCAAGAAGGCAAGAACUGCUAGGCGUCUACGCUCCUAACCGGCAUAUAUACUCGGGAUCACCGGGGAAAUCUAUUUUUGUGUCGCAGAAGGAAUCCCCGCUCGCCUUUCACCUUCCUCACUAGCUUGCAGCCGCAGUUCGGGGUGAGGGUUGCCGAGUCCGGUGGCCACUGGCAACCUUAGAAGAGAUGGGGUGAGGUAGGGAAUCUCGACGGCGGAUCGGAGGUGGGUCACUGGGUUGCAAGGUGGCGUGGCAGGGUAGUGGGGACGCCGCUAGCGGUCAGUGGAUAACUGGUGGGCCCAAGUUGAGGUGGGAAAGUUCGAUCUCACCGGGUUAGGGUGGGGUGGGUGGUGGAGGUGGUCUAGAGACGGCGACGCCGCCGGGAUGGUGGGGCGGCGGUGCUGGAUUACCUGCAGGUUGAUUUUUUUACAUUAGUGUGUGUGUCAAAGAUAAUCAUAUAUCUAUGAAAUUAGUGGUUUAAUUUGCUUGAUGACUUAGAAAGGCUUGGCAUUGGAAGUGAUAGUAAACGAUUAGCAAAGUGUGUCGAAUUUCCGAUCCAAAGGUGUCAAAGAAAGGUCACAGGAAGGAACCUGGUGCUUUCCAUGCCUUACACCGCGAAGCGUGAACCGUGAUCGUCAUCUCAGUGCGUCUACUACACAGUUUACCCAGGUGCUGUCCACUGCAGAUUAUGCAACACCUCGGUGAAUCGUGAACAAUCUGGUAACAAUGAAUCAGAAAUUUUCUUGUGCUGUCCACUGCUGCCAUACACUAUACUGCAGAUUAUGCACACCUGGGUGAGGGCGGAGGCUAUUCAUCGCGCGCGGGUGGGAUGCAGGCCGUCGCAGAAUGGAGCCGCCACUCCUAUUCAUAUUCCUCGUUCAGGGCAACGGCGGCUGGAGUUUGGGGUGGAGGCGUUUGCCGGUAUCCAGUAGCCACCGGCGACCUUUAGAAGAGGGAGUAGAGGGUAGGGAAACCCAUCGGUGGAGACGGAUUGCGUGGUUGGCGUGGCGAGGCGUGAUGUGCUGGCCACCGGCGAUAACCAGUGGCCCGUAUUCAGUACGGGAGAGCUCAAGUGCUCGACCUUGCCGGGUUAGCGUGCAUGGGGUUGGGUGGUGGAAGCGGCGAUGUCGCCAGACGAUGGCCGGAGGACAGGGGGCCCUAUUGCAAAGGCUAAGGCAGCAUGUAUAAACUUUGCAUCGAUCGGGACGUCUGCUUUGUGCUUUGAUAAUUUAAUAGUCGUGUUUUCAGAUUGACAGCAUUUAUCUAUCUCUGGGGACUCUGGGCUAUCAUUCAUAUCAUUUCUAUGCCUGCUAAUUCUCGCUUUCAGGUGAGUCGUCAUUUCCUUUUAUGGUACAUGCAGGAGGAUGUGUGAGCUAAGUUUGAGCAAGAUGGCGCAUCCCCCAGCUGGAAAUCAUGUAGGGUCCGACAUGAGUGAUGUUAGAGGUACUUUUAGUAACACGCUGCUGUAUUUCUAACAUCAGGUAUUUUUAGAGGAAACGAAAAAGGAUUUUCUGAA
This is a long non-coding RNA of Panicum virgatum (switchgrass), 2069 nucleotides long. RefSeq lists it as uncharacterized. The transcript has 2 exons. The record is from RefSeq and is a predicted model, not a curated record. Lineage: Eukaryota; Viridiplantae; Streptophyta; Magnoliopsida; Poales; Poaceae.